Molecule: long non-coding RNA, 1538 nt
Filed under: Venturia canescens
Lineage: Eukaryota; Metazoa; Arthropoda; Insecta; Hymenoptera; Ichneumonidae
Description: uncharacterized LOC122415620, transcript variant X1
Source: RNAcentral
GAUCCACUCCAGAGUUCAAGUACAUUCGCGUCCCAAUGUCGAGUUUGUACUCGUCGAAAACGGGCUGAGAAUGUUCGUGCAACAGUCAAAUUAAGCUCCACUCGAAUGCUCAUUUUUCAAGGACAUUUCAACGAGCCUACGCGACGAAAAUAUUUUAAGGACGAGGACGGUAGUUGGAUGGGUGACGCUCAGCCACGCAGUUUUUCGUCUCGGAGGUGCUGAUAAAUUGCAAUUGAAGUGCUGAACAACGAAGCGAAGGAAAACUGAGCUGAAGUGUGAUGGGGCGCGCUCGUAAAAACCCAAAAAGCUGCACGCGGAAGCAAUAAAAACACUAUGAGAAAUGGAAGAAUCUCAAACGUCGGAGGAUCUUACGUCACCCGGACGUUUUUCCCCAGGAGAUUGUAUUUCGAGGUGCUUCGCUUCAGGAACCUUUGGAGGGCAAAAGAAGCCUCGGGACUUUUACAAUCGACAUCAAAUUCAAGCGUUUCGAGCCAUUUUCCGCCGGCACAAAAAACCUGUUUUUACGAAGUUUUUCGAAAAAAUACUCAAACUGCAUAAUUUCAGAACUAAAAUUCCUGUCGACCUAACGUAAUGAAAUUCAAUUUCAAAUAUUUUACAGAUUCAAACCUUAAGAGAUUGCAAAACGACGGCAAAUUUAGAGCGGGUGUCCCAUCGGCUGCGGGGCAAAUGCAUGACGUCACCGAGUUUCAACGCGACUUCGUCCUGAGCUCCUUCGUAAAGCAGAACGAGUGCUAAUUUAACGGAGAGCGGUGAAAUCAAAAGGGCGCGACAACUUUGGGGUCUUUGACGGAGGGCGGAUCUGUGGCAUCGUUCAUUGGUGCUGUUUGACACACAACGAAACCAAAUGCCAUCAUCAGGAGCUGCCAUUCUGUGGGAAGAAAAAUCACUAUGAUAAGAGGGAAAAAAAUUGCGUUUCCAUUGCCACACAGCAGACAAAAGCUAGCAACGGAAAGUCUGACGAGGCUCGACGAAGAAAAAUAAUAGCAAUUUUCAAAAAGCAUUAAUCAUCGAGCGGAAGAAUAUUGCGAUUGAAAAAUAUUUAAAAUCUAUUCGUUCGCAGGUGGGCUGAAAAGAGGAAAAUAAUUUUGUUUCCUGCAGCACCGAAUCGGCCGAUUAUCCGCUUGUUUAUACUCCGUAUGACAAAAUUAUGAAAUAACGCAAAUUCGAUCGAUCGAUGGUCACCGACCUCGAGACUCCAGGCCUUGAACUCAUUACCGUUAUUCAAAGAUUAAUUGCAUAAUGCUGCGAUGUAAAAUUGCCUCAAGAUCAAUGAGGGACUCGGCAAACGGACUAAAAAGUUUUAUCCGAUUAAACAUAAGUGGAUAAACCACUUUACGGAUGACUAAUAACAUUUGAACUCGUAAAUUAUUCAUGCUCCGAGCUAAAAGUCGUCAUGACCAUAAAUGCCUGCGGAAUACAAUGUUCGUGCGAUCGAGAAAAACGUGAAACGAUUAGCGGAUGGGAUCUCUCUCGACUUUCGGUGCUCCCAACGCCUCGGGGUCACGGGAUCAAAUGUU